UUCUCAGUUGCCUGGACACAUUGAUUCAUUCCAUUCCUUCAAUUCAAAGUCAAAGUUUUAGAAGUUUCCUUGAGUCCUUUUGUUACNGAUUCCCCAAGGGGUGCAACGCCAACCGACCUUGAUCCUCUGAGAAGGGUUUGAGUGAGAGCGUACAUGUCGGGACCCGAAAUAUGGUGAACUAUGCCUGAGCAGGGCGAAGUAAGGGAAAACUCUGGUGGAGGCCCGCAGCGAUGCUGACGUGCAAAUAGUUCGUCUGACUUAGGUAUAGGGGCAAAAGAUUAAUCGAACCAUCUAGUAGCUGG
This 302-nucleotide ribosomal RNA is filed under the name Olea europaea subsp. europaea. Its description in RNAcentral is "Eukaryotic large subunit ribosomal RNA". It matches the Rfam family "Eukaryotic large subunit ribosomal RNA", at positions 705 to 954 of the family's 3401-position model. Lineage: Eukaryota; Viridiplantae; Streptophyta; Magnoliopsida; Lamiales; Oleaceae. The record is from Rfam by way of RNAcentral.